CCUACGGGGGGCAGCAGUGAGGAAUAUUGGUCAAUGGGCGGAAGCCUGAACCAGCCAAGUCGCGUGAGGGAAUAAGGCCCUACGGGUCGUAAACCUCUUUUGCCGGGGAGCAAGGGCGGGGACGUGUCCCGGCCCGGAGAGUACCCGGAGAAAAAGCAUCGGCUAACUCCGUGCCAGCAGCCGCGGUAAUACGGAGGAUGCGAGCGUUAUCCGGAUUUAGUGGGUUUAAAGGGUGCGUAGGCGGGCUUUUAAGUCAGCGGUAAAAAUUCGGGGCUCAACCCCGUCCGGCCGUUGAAACUGGGGGCGUUGAGUGGGCGAGAAGAAGGCGGAAUGCGUGGUGUAGCGGUGAAAUGCAUAGAUAUCACGCAGAACCCCGAUUGCGAAGGCAGGCUUCCGGCGCCCUACUGACGCUGAGGCACGAAAGUGCGGGGAUCGAACAGGAUUAGAUACCCUGGUAGUC
This 460-nucleotide ribosomal RNA is filed under the name uncultured bacterium. RNAcentral describes it as "partial 16S ribosomal RNA". It matches the Rfam family "Bacterial small subunit ribosomal RNA", at positions 338 to 795 of the family's 1533-position model. The record is from RNAcentral.